Molecule: ribosomal RNA, 198 nt
Filed under: uncultured bacterium
Lineage: Bacteria
Description: partial 16S ribosomal RNA
Rfam family: Bacterial small subunit ribosomal RNA
Source: RNAcentral
ACGCUCGACACCUACGAGAGGCAGCAGUGGGGAAUAUUGCACAAUGGGGGAAACCCUGAUGCAGCAACGCCGCGUGAAGGAAGACGGUUUUCGGAUUGUAAACUUCUGUUCUUAGUGAAGAUAGUGACGGUAGCUAAGGAGCAAGCCACGGCUAACUACGUGCAAGCAGCCGCGGUAAUCUGAGCGGGCUGGCAAGGC